This 515-nucleotide long non-coding RNA is filed under the name Sphaeramia orbicularis (orbiculate cardinalfish). RNAcentral's name for it is "lncRNA (ENSSORG00005021679.1)". The record is from RNAcentral. Lineage: Eukaryota; Metazoa; Chordata; Actinopteri; Kurtiformes; Apogonidae.
CAGGUGUGCUGGUAGUGAACGUGUGCUGCAGCAGGCCAGGCUUGGCAGCAUGGUGAAGGCCCAGAAGUCAAGUGGGAGGAAGAGCUCUCUCUGUCCCCGCAGACAGAGUGGUGGUCAGACAGAGAUGGAAGAAGGCCAAUUGGACACGCAGCAUUCACCAAGGGUACAGCCCCAAGACCUGUCCACUGGUCAAGCCCUACUUCAGACUCUAUCAGAGAACUGUGAUGAAAAUGACACAGCAAUGGACAUCCAGGAUAGGGAAGAUCCUGCCUACCAGCACCAGUCUCAUAUCAGGUCUCUAUGGAGGCCCAUUCCCCCUUUACUGCCUGAACCUGGGACUCACAGAAACAUAGCCGCUGAGACUAGGGACCAGAGCUGCCAGACGGAGGAUCAGCUUCUGCAGUCCAGCGCUAGAAGCAAAGGGCACAAUACAGGUUAUUGUGUGGAGCCUGGUGAUCCACCUCUGCUUCAGCAGCCUCUGCAGACCUCAAAGUCCGGGAUUCAGCAAAUAAUCG